Molecule: long non-coding RNA, 248 nt
Organism: Gambusia affinis (western mosquitofish)
Lineage: Eukaryota; Metazoa; Chordata; Actinopteri; Cyprinodontiformes; Poeciliidae
Exons: 3
Source: RefSeq, a predicted model, not a curated record
CAUUCAGUCAUUUUUACUUUACCUCGUGUUAAGCUAAUAAGCAGAGGAAAUUUUACAAAAGUUUUCAUUUCAUAGGAGGAGCACAAGAAUACUGACCUAACGAGAACGGAAGGAAGGCCUCACGCCUUAUGAAGUUCCCACUGUUGUCCAGAAACCUUUCUGGAAUCGUGUACCCAUUGACUUUUGCGUCCUGGGAGGUGGCUCGGAAGAUACCAAGAGGCACAAUGUUGCAGAAGCGAAGGAUCUCA